This is an RNA transcript of Nymphaea colorata (pocket water lily), 1905 nucleotides long. RefSeq lists it as uncharacterized. The record is from RefSeq and is a predicted model, not a curated record. NCBI's taxonomy places the organism in Eukaryota, Viridiplantae, Streptophyta, Magnoliopsida, Nymphaeales, Nymphaeaceae. The transcript is spliced from 3 exons.
UUUCUCUAUCCUCUCGUCUCUCUCUCGCCAAACCUCUGCCUUUGCUAGUAUUCUCCCGCCGCGCCUCUGGCGCCGCCUCUGCUCGUUCCUUUCCACCGCCACCAUGAGGAAUAAGAAGAGGUCUUCAGGCGAGAGAGCCAGGUGAAGCUUCCGCUGACGAGAGCAGAGAACACCUGAGGCCUUCUCACAACUCCACUUCAGCGAUUUCGUCCCUCCUGCAACCAGUUCAGAUUGAAAUUGGGCAAUCUCCUCCGCGUCUCCCGACCAGAGAGUUCAUCCUUUCCUCUUUGUCAAAGGACAAAAGGGUGGGUCUCUGAAAGAGGAGUUGGGCGUGCUCGAUGGGGAGUCAUUCGUCACCCUUCUCUCUAACCUCAUUGGGGAGUCGAGGUACAUUCAGAACAACCCGCCGGAGCUUGUUCCACAAAAGGACAUGAUGAUCAAGCACCUCUUGGGCGCGCUAGCUCCAUACAGCAAGGAGCAAGGAGAGCCGCAUCUCCUGAACUACGCGAACUACUUCGAGGGAAGCGGGGAUAUGAUAGUCGAGUACCCGGGAACCGUUCCGGGCAAGGUCCUUGAUGGGCAAAACAAAAGGGAAGGCAAUGAAGAAACAGAACGCUAGUCGGCAGAAGGAGGCUGGAGCAGAGAGGUCGAGGAUUAAGAAACCAGUCAUUUGGGGUCCAACGGAAGAGGGAGCAGAGUUAAUUUCUCCAUUCACCCCAGAACAAGCAGCCCGAGGGAUUGGUGGUGGCUGAAACAAGCAGCUUGUAGAAGAAGAGGGGGAGCAUGGGCUUGAACCUUUGUUGGUCAGAGAUGUCCCGAGGGCUCUGGGUGGAUAAAUGCAUAAAUGCUUGACGCACGGUGAAGUUGCCGUCAUGGAAGUAGACGAUGCAGAUUGGGAAGAUAAUAACAGCUGAUCUGUUGCUGGGGCACCGCAGGGUGACCUGGAAGGCUGCAUCAGAGACACAGACCUGGCAAGCUUCGACAUCGAUGCCACCUCGACAUUGGAAAAUGGCAAUGACGUGGUCAGGGCUGUUGCCCACGGUGGCAUUGUAAAAGCCAGUGACAGAAAUGUUGGCCACUAGAGAGGCUAGCGCUUACUGCAGGUUAUGGCCGAAGGUGCUGCUCGGCGCGUGGUUUGUAUAACAACCUGACCCACUCUCGGGCUCGGGCCCCUGGUUCGACGGAUCCCAACCCGCCCUCUAGCAGUUUCAGUUCCAAUCUUAAAAAGGCUAGGAACCAGGACAAUCAUCUUCCCUUUAAAAGCCCUUGAAGAUCCCUCACAAUCUUUGAUACGAGACUAAACUUUUGGUGUGUUACAAUCCACCCCUUUUAAGGUACACGCGUCCGCUCGUGUGGGACCCCAGGUCCGAGUGUUGAACCGGUUCUGAUACCACUAUAACAACCCGACCCACUCCCGGGCUCGGGCCCCUGGUUUGACGGAUCCCAACCCGCUCUCUAGCAGUUUCGGUUCCAAUCUUAAAAAGGCUAGGAACCAGGACAAUCAUCUCAUUAAAGCCUCCCUUUAAAAGCCCUUGAAGAUUUCUCACAAUCUUCGCUACGAAACUAAACUUCUCGGGUGUUACAGUUUGAACUGCCGGUGCAAGACCAAUAGGGGCUCUCAGCCUUGUUGACUAGCCUCAGAGGAAGGAGAAAGACAAUUAAGAAAUUGAGGCUGCAGCUUUUUCUCCACAUUGCCUCACCUUUUUCUCCACAUUGCCUCACCACUGUGCAAUCAAUGCUAGAAUUCUUCUGGGUACAAUUGGGAAACAAUGGAGGAGGAAGGAAAUUUGAGUUGGUUGUUUCUUCCUCCCUUCUUAUAUGUUCUCUGCUCAACAUCCUCCAAGCCUCCAUGUACGCAGCAUCUGAACAGUUGAAAUUCAGGCCUGGACCAAAAAAUUUAAUUAA